AACGAACGCUGGCGGCAUGCCUAACACAUGCAAGUCGAACGAGACCUUCGGGUCUAGUGGCGCACGGGUGCGUAACGCGUGGGAACCUGCCCUUAGGUUCGGAAUAACUCCCCGAAAGGGGUGCUAAUACCGGAUAAUGUCUUCGGACCAAAGAUUUAUCGCCUUUGGAUGGGCCCGCGUUGGAUUAGCUAGUUGGUAGGGUAAAAGCCUACCAAGGCGACGAUCCAUAGCUGGUCUGAGAGGAUGAUCAGCCACACUGGGACUGAGACGCGGCCCAGACACAUACGGGAGGGAGCAGUGUGGAAUAUGGGAAAAGGGGGGAAGGUCUGAUCGAGCUAGGCCGCGGGAGGGAUAAAGACAUUAGGGAGAUAAAGCGCUUUAACCAGGGAGGUGAAUGAAAGGACAGGGAGAAUAAGGACCAGCAAGCUCCGUA
RNAcentral lists this ribosomal RNA (433 nucleotides) under uncultured bacterium. RNAcentral's name for it is "partial 16S ribosomal RNA". It matches the Rfam family "Bacterial small subunit ribosomal RNA", at positions 29 to 507 of the family's 1533-position model. The record is from RNAcentral.